Long non-coding RNA from Clupea harengus (Atlantic herring), 2302 nucleotides. Lineage: Eukaryota; Metazoa; Chordata; Actinopteri; Clupeiformes; Clupeidae. The record is from Ensembl.
CACCAGCUGGACAUGUGGCCUGGCAGUACGCCCACACGAACCAUGGAUUUUCAGACUGACAUAUGACCUGUGAAGAUGUGUGCCGUCACCCCGAACCCUUGCCUAAAGAUGGAUAAGGACAAGGAUGGAGUUUUAAGAGGAAAGUUUCACUAAAAAGUUGCCCGAUGGAUCUUUGGAGAAAACAAAAGUUUUCUGCACAGUUUGCAAAGCCGAAUUUUAAUAACCACAGAAGCAACUCGUCUUUGACAUAUCACCUCAAAGCAAAACACCCUCCUGAGCACUGAUGGUUCUAAUAACAUGGUUGCAGCCACAACAGUACUUCCAUCUGAACACCUACCCCGCAUGGCCCACAGGCAGCAAGAGUACUUCCAUCUGAACACCUACCCCACAUGGCCCACAUCUGAAAACCGACCCCGCAUGGCCCACAGGCAGCAAAGGACAGUCAUGCUUUCCCUUCACCAAAGUGUUCUGGCCAAAUGGCAAGAUUUGCCAAGUGUUCCAGGCAAGAUUAUCGAUCACUUUAAGCACAGUCCAUCAAGCGGUCAGGAAGAGAUCAGCAAGCUACACUUGGACCGAAGCAAGCAUAAUUUGUUCCGGACGUGGAAACUGGAUGGAAUUCUACCCUAGAGAUGGUCAAGCGAGUCCAGUGAAAAAAAUCUCCACUGACUGAUGGAGAUCAUUUCCAAACACUGUUAAUGACUUAAGAAUAUAAUAAUCAAGUGCCUUGUAUUAUUAAUUACCUUAUAUGAAUCAUGUACUUAUGUAAGCAGGAACAUGGCUUUUCUGUGUUUCUGCGUGUGUGUAACUUAGAAUAUUAGGUGCCACUUAGUCUGCAUAUGUACAAGAGCAUGUUUAGACCAGAGGUGAUAAGAAGAGUCGAACUGUGCUUCUUCCGACCUUGCAAAACUUCCAUCCACGGACGUCAGAAGUCCAUCACGUGGUUAUCCCUACUGAACGCUAAACUUCUGUCUAUAUAAACCUUGUGCGAUGUGUUUAAUAUUGCUUCACUUUCAGCCUUGUGCUGGGAGUGAGCCCGAUUGCAAUUGUUGUUUGUCUAAUAAAUAUACUUACAGUAUAUGCAGCUCCGGAGUCCUGAGGUAACUAGGGUGAAUUUUCACCUAUCACUGACCACUACAAUGGCUCAGCAAAACAGCAAAGAAGCAAGACAUUUCUCUUCUGCCGUGUUGACUGCAGAGGAGCUUGCCAAACUGCAAAAGCUGGAGGAAAUAAUUGAACUAUGCAAGUUAAUGUUUCUUUCUUCUUUCUCUCUCUCUCUCUCUCAUGUGCUGUUUUCUCUCUCUCCCUCCCUCGGUCUGUGCUCAGAGAGUUUUGAUAACGGAGUUCAAGGCCCAUUAGGUAUGGUGGACCGGCAGAGAACGCAAGUGCACUGUCUGUGCGUUAUGCUCAGCCACUUCACGCUGCCGCUGUUCCUGCGCACGCCGGGCACUUAGCGGUCUGCGCGGCAUUCAGGCCUUUUUUGUGCGAUGCAUUGUGGAACGUUACCGUUACAGCAAUAAAAAGCAUUCGUCAAAACAAACGCUAACAAACAACAGUAUUUGAAUUUGAAUAUACUUCCUCUGUGUUGAUUCUACAUUAAUUAUGUGCUUUAUAUAAACAUCCAUUAUUACAAGCUUCAGUCUUAAGGGGAAAAAAAUUGCAAAUUAUUCAAUUAAUCAGUUAUUGUUCUUAUUGAUCAACAGCCCUACUUUGCAGACAUAUGUUGAGCCAGCGACUCUAAGAAACUGAACAAAGUGAUAAAAGAAGGCUGGCUCUGUGCAGGGGACUGUUCCGGAGCCCCUAGAGUUGGCUGUGGAGAGAAGGAUGUUGCGCAUGCUGGCCAACACUACACACUCCCUACACAACCUACUGGUCAGACAGCAGUGUUUCAGUUGGAGGCUCCUUCAGCUCCGCUGCAAUAAGGACCAUUACAGGAGGUCAUUCCUGUCCACUGCAACAGCCAUCUACAAUGACUCCCCUCUGUGCCGCGAGAGGAGACGACUCCUCUUAGAGUGGAAAUGCACAAUGCACAUUUUACAUUUCAUUUGCACAUAAUAAUAGCAAUAUCUUGCCUCUAGCGCUGGUGGGUUCUUCAAAAAAGACAACUUGCAAUCAUCAUGUCUUUUGGUUGCAGGCCUUUUAUUUUGAAGCAACAGGCAAGGAAACACUGAUACAUGCUGAGUGAGACAGAAGACAGGUCUAUCUUUGACGCUAACUAACAUAGGGGCUAACACACACAGACUUUAAAUGGCAUAUGACACAGACAGCGUAGCUAACGUUCACACACACGUUGGACACAAAAGGG